This 19-nucleotide microRNA is filed under the name Tribolium castaneum (red flour beetle). Its description in RNAcentral is "tca-miR-3886-5p". Lineage: Eukaryota; Metazoa; Arthropoda; Insecta; Coleoptera; Tenebrionidae. The record is from miRBase by way of RNAcentral.
UCACAGCGAGCUUUGACAG